Molecule: ribosomal RNA, 478 nt
Filed under: uncultured bacterium
Lineage: Bacteria
Description: bacterial SSU rRNA
Rfam family: Bacterial small subunit ribosomal RNA
Source: RNAcentral
ACGACGCUGGCGGCGUGCUUAAUACAUGCAAGUCAACUUGACUUUAGAUAGCAAUAUCGAAAAGUAGGGUGGCGCACGGGUGCGUAACGCGUAGGUAAUCUGCCCUGAGGUCUGACAUAACCCGUCGAAAGGCGGGCUAACAUCAGAUGAUAUAUAAUCACGACAUCGUGGAAAUAUCAAAUCUUCGGAGCCUUGGGAUGAGCCUGCGUCUGAUUAGGUAGUUGGCGGAGUAAUAGCCCACCAAGCCUACGAUCAGUAGCUGGUCUGAGAGGAUGAUCAGCCACACUGGAACUGAGACACGGUCCAGACUCCUACGGGAGGCAGCAGUAAGGAAUAUUGCUCAAUGGGGGGAAACCCUGAAGCAGCAACGCCGCGUGAAGGAUGAAAUACUUUGUAUGUAAACUUCUGUAAGAUGGGAAAAAUAUUCUCCUCGGGAGAAUUGAUUGUACCAUCAGAGUAAGCCCCGGCUAACUACGUG